UGGGGAAUAUUGCACAAUGGGCGCAAGCCUGAUGCAGCCAUGCCGCGUGUAUGAAGAAGGCCUUCGGGUUGUAAAGUACUUUCAGUCGGGAGGAAGGUGGUAAGGUUAAUAACCUUAUCAAUUGACGUUACCGAUAGAAGAAGCACCGGCUAACUCCGUGCCAGCAGCCGCGGUAAUACGGAGGGUGCAAGCGUUAAUCGGAAUUACUGGGCGUAAAGCGCACGCAGGCGGUUGAUUGAGUCAGAUGUGAAAUCCCCGGGCUUAACCCGGGAAUUGCAUCUGAUACUGGUCAGCUAGAGUCUUGUAGAGGGGGGUAGAAUUCCAUGUGUAGCGGUGAAAUGCGUAGAGAUGUGGAGGAAUACCGGUGGCGAAGGCGGCCCCCUGGACAAAGACUGACGCUCAGGUGCGAAAGCGUGGGGAGCAAACAGG
Molecule: ribosomal RNA, 429 nt
Filed under: Chloroflexota bacterium
Lineage: Bacteria; Bacillati; Chloroflexota
Description: Chloroflexi bacterium partial 16S ribosomal RNA
Rfam family: Bacterial small subunit ribosomal RNA
Source: RNAcentral